This 6569-nucleotide long non-coding RNA is filed under the name Sus scrofa (pig). RNAcentral describes it as "lncRNA (ENSSSCG00000053898.1)". The record is from RNAcentral. Lineage: Eukaryota; Metazoa; Chordata; Mammalia; Artiodactyla; Suidae.
GGUACGCAUCUCAGAAGCCUCUUUGGUCUUCUCUCCUCAUGCUUAGCCAGUUCCUAGAUUUCAUCUCCAUUCUUAAUCACCAACUCAUUCCCAGCUCACAUGAUCCCACAGAUUAUAGGCUAAGUCUUUAUCCCACGCCACUCUCACCCUGUGUCAUCUUGGAGCCACUAUGUCACCACUGGGGUAAUGGUGUGAAGGGGGCAGAAAAAGAGGCUUAUCUUCUUUAGCACACUUCAGAGGGACUCCAGUAGAUCAAUGUUUCUCUAAACUGGGGUGAUGGGAGGAGGUAUAGAGAUGUGUUCUCAAGGGUCCAUGAGUUUUCUCUGGGGCUUUUUAAGAGAUGUGUAUUUAUUUCAAUUAUGACGUGACAAAAAUUGGUAUUAGUACACUCUAGAGGUUGAAACUGCACACCCUGGAGUCAGAGUUCCUGGAUGCAAAUCCUAACUUUGCCACUUGGCAGAGUGUGCCCUUCUACCUGGGUUCCUGGACAAGAUGAGAAGUUGAAUAAAGUAAACGAAUUUUUCCUCUUGACCUUCUUUCCUUCCACCUUAUUCAGGCGAGUGAGGAACCCAUUCUAGUUUGUAUUUACAGUUAAGUCCUUGCCUUUGUACUAGACUUGCUGGAGGAAGUGACACCUGAACUGAUGCUGAAAAAAGUGAGCAGGCAUCCACCAGUACAUGUGUUACGUAAGCCAUUAAGUUUCUUUCUACAGUGCCUUGUGGUUUGCAAUGAAUUCUCCCAUGCAUUUGGUCCUGACAAAACCUAAAUGAAGUAAGGAAGCAAUACAUAAAUUUAUAUGUAGCUAAUCUGCAUUAUUCACAGAUUCCACAAGUACCAGUUCGCCUGCUGGUUAAAUUUUAUCUGUAAUCCCCAAAUCAACACUUGCAGUACUUUUCAGUCAUUUUCAGACACAGGCAGAGCAGUGAAAUAUUUGAGCACCCACUGCACGCGUUCCCAGCUGAGAUCAAACAAGGUGACGCUUGGCCUUCUUACUUCAGUUCUCAUACUGCAAACAAGUGUCCUUUUUGCUGUCUAUUUAGUGCUACAUUUUCCACAUUCUGUGCUCUUUUUGGUAGAGAUUUUGCUGUUUAAAAUGUCCCUAAACAUAGUGGUGCACAGGGAGGCUGUCAUGUGUCUUAUAGAGAAAAUAUAUGUUAGAUGAGCUUCAUUCAGGCAUGAAUUCCAGUGCUGUUGGCUGAGAGUUCAAUGUCAAUGAAUCAACAAUAAUAUUAAGCAAAAUUGUCUUUAAACAGGAACACACAGAAAACAAGGUUAUGUUUCCCCUCAGAAUAGCAGUUCAAAUAUUUGUUAAUACAGCAUUCCCAGUCACAUUUUAUAGGCCAAACUGUCAGAAAUAAUGAGAAUACAGUGCAGAUUUAUUAUAUAAUAUAUACAGUAUAAAAAAUAAAGGGAACUGAGGCUCAGAGAGGUUAGAGAAUUUUCCCCAAAGCCCGAGGUCACAGAUCUCCUGGGUCCCAGGCAGGUCUGAGUCCAUGCUCCAUCUACUACUACCUUCUGCCUUUAAGGGGGGUUCAUGGCCAAAAGUGUUGUGUGAACAAUCGCCAUUUGCAGAAUUUGGGUAAGGAGGAUUCACUCCAGAUGUUUUUAGCCUCUCCUUCGCUAUACUAGUCUGUGUUGCCCCUUCUCUCUGUCCCUCUUUGUUUUUGGAUCAUCUGUAAUUACCUUGUUAUCACAUGGAAGAUCCUUCCAAGCAAAUGAAUCUGUAGGUACUUCUUGCUAUGUAGCACACGUCUUUCCAAGGAGGGAUCUAGGAAAAGAGCAGGACAGCCAACCUGGGGAUCAACUCCUGUUGAAGCUUAUACAUGAGCCAAUGACAGUUCUCCUCCCUUCUUACCAAUAUUUUAAACUCUAGAAUGGAACAGAUGGAAGGAGAGGUGUUAAAGGGACAUCUGCAGCCUUCUUGAUCCUCGCCCUCUGCUCCCCCACCAGACUUCACAAACCCUUGCAAUUCCUACCCCUCCCCAUUGAGGAGCAAUACCUUUCUGUAAGCGUUUCCAAACACUCAGUUUAAUUUUUGGAAAUUUAGAUCCAACAUAUCUCUUUUCACAGGUCCCACAAUGCUUUAGUGAUGAUGAGUUUGACAGGCAUGACAGAAGAAAGGCAGGAGGGCGGAGGAGAAGAGAGAGGAUUAACAAGUGUCUAAGAAGUGGCGUUUAUAUUUAGAAUUUCCUUCCUUUCAAGGGUUGGUGUGCCAGUCAGGACUCUUAUUAUAAACAACAGAAUCCACUUAGCUCAUUUUAAUAGAAAGAGAAAUUAUUAAAGAAUAUUACAUAGUUCACAGAAUCUCCAGGACAGCCAAGGAGUUCAGCAUAAAGGUGGCCACCCAGGGAAAUGCCCAAACCAAAAAGUGCGAUUACUCCUUCAAAGAGCCCACGGGCAACAUGCCUCGCAUAAACACCAUGGCCUUCACCAAAAACACUGAGCGCUGAACACCAGAACCAGAACCGCAGGCUCUGACACCUCCAAGGCUUUCUGUUCCACUUCCUAAUUGGAUUUUUCCAUGGGCACAUCUGAUUCAUGGAGCUCAGGUCACACAGCUAAGGGACUGACCUGGUCUCAGACCUAAUGGAUCCCCAAAUGGGGACCAGGUCAACUUGUUAACUUGCUGAGUGACCUCAGGGAAGUCACUGAAUUCAUUUGUUCUAGUUUCCUCAUCCUUAAUAUGGAGGAUUCAGCUCAGUGUGCUCUUAAGGUGACUUUCAGCUCAGAAAUGCUGUAAUUUGGUAAUUUUAAGCAUCUGAGAAUGUUUUAUUUAGCACUCAGCCACCCCAGGAUGUUUGGUAAAAUCUGAUCAUUUGGACAAGUCCCAGGAAAAGAACAGAUCAGAGCCUGCAUUGGGUGUUGGAAGCCCACCUGAUGGGAGAAUAUGUGUAUAUAGUGGGAGGUAGGGAGGUCGCUGAUGAGAGUAUGGAGACUUUUAGAACUAGAAGGAAUUAAAAACUAUUCAGGUUUCCCCCUCUCUCUCUUUUUCUCUUUCUCUCUCUCUCUUUCCUUCCUUCCUUCCCUCCUCCCUCCCUUCCUUCUUUUCUUCCUUCCUGCUUUCUCUUUCUCUCUUUCAAUUAUGGAAACAGCCUCAGAGAAGGAAAUAAUGAAUCUAAGGUCACAGAGCUAGUUAAAGGCAGGACUGGGAAUAGCAUUAGCUUUUCUGCUUUCCAUUCCAGGGUUCUUUCCCCAGUGCAGGAAUGACAAACUGAUUUCCUUCCCUUUCCUGUGCUAAUUCUAAUGAAAUAGCAACGGCUACCUUGAGCAUGGUCUUUAGGAAGGCUCCCAGGUCUUUCAGGACUCAGUGGGAAGAGUGCUGUAACUGAUUAGCAAUGUCUGUCAUGACCACAGGAGGGGAGAAUAGUCACCCGGGUUUUGCCAUCCCUAAUUUGCCAGGUCUCAUAGAACCAAAUUGUCAGUGAGGAACUAGAGGCUCAUUCUCCAUUGAGAACCAAUAGAUGAAAGAAAAAUGGAAAACGGUAUAGCUAGUCCUGCAGAAGACUCUUGAAAGUACUUAGCCCCAAAUUAAGAGGUGAUAGUCAGUGUAUGCUUAGGGAACCAUCUCACACCUACAUUCAAAGUUUGCUAAGUAACACUGGAAACAAAGAGAAUUGCAAACUGUUAAAAGGGCAUGUGAAAGCCAGGAUGUGAGAGCUGGGGGAACAAGUUCCUAGAAAAGCAGAAUAAGAUAGCAAUUAAGUUAGUGACACACUGUACAAUACGCACCCAGAAGUAGGGUUUUUUUGGGGGGAGGGGGAGUGAGGGGUUAUAUUGUUCUAACUAAAAUAUCCCUGCUUAGACUAAGACAGUAAAAUUAAUUGAUUUAUUUUCAUGAACAGUUAUAUGUAAAAUCUAUAAGAGCCUAUGAAUUGGGCAAUCCCAAGCCUAAAUUUAAUUCUAGUUAAUGAUAAUAAUAAUAAUAACUAUCUUAAUCCUCAUUAGAAUCAUGUGAGAUAAAUACUGUUAUCAUCACUGUUUCAUAGAUGGGAAAACUGAGCUUUAGAUGGCCUGAGGGACUGCCCUAAGAUCAUACAAUAAAAGGGCAGCAGACCUGGGAUUUGACUAGAACUCAGGAUUUUUUUCCUUCAUGUUAAUUAAAAGCAGAGUCCAACCUGAGGCAUGUUUGAAAAUCUGUGGGAUUUACUAGACGUGAGGUAUGGACCUUUGCAGAACUGGCCCUGAAAUCCUAACCCCUCUUAGCAGAAAAUCGACAUGAUCUUCCUCUUGUUUUCAUCUACUGAAAUUCAAAUCACCAAACUUCUUAGCCUCUCUGGGAAAACUAAACGACUCACCACCGCUUCAAAGGAAGCUCAUGGGGUUUGUGCACAGUGAUUUCACAUCUUCCCUGAAACACCAACACAGCCAAUCCAGGUUAAAGGAUAUCAGCAUUGCCACAUACUCUUCUUUUUCCCAAAUUAAUCAAGAAGUAGGAAUUUCUGACAAAUGCCAUCUGCUGAUUUUUCAGAGAGACAAGUUUUGGUGGUGUGACCAGCAGGUGCCUCGGCUUUUUCUAGCAUGCAGUACCAAAAUAGUCACCAUGGCAACCCUCAGAGGGCAGACUUCCAAAGAAAUGCAUUGUGAGCACAGAAACUCUAGAGCACUUUCAAGCAAGAAGGAAGGAGGCUCAGUGGGCAGGUUUCCAAUGAGGGGAGCAGGAGCUUCUCUGCACACCCCCAGGCAGGACCCCAAGUUUCUAUGUAGUUGGUACAGCCAGGCUCUCAGUUACCCUGGGGCUCAUGCUCCCAGGAAGAGAGAGAAAAUGUGAAUCUGUGGGGCGUGGCAGGCAGAACAGGCAACUCCCUGAUUUUUUGCAGGGACUAAAGUGGCUUGGGAGUGGGACAAGUCCCUUGGAGGAAGGACAAAAGAGGUGGGGCCCUGAGGUGGGAGACAGGAAACUUGGGUCCUAAUCACUAACCAAGUGACCUUGGGCUGUUGACCACCUUUCCAAGUCACAGCUUCUCAUUUGUGAAAUGGGGGUGGUGAACUCACUCUGCCUCAUCAUGGGGGAAAUUGAGGAUAUAUCACCCUUGUGGAGGCUUUUGGUAAAAUGCUCAGUGGGCAGCGAAGGGCAAAAAGAGCAUAGGCUCAGCUACUUUCUGAUCCUAUGAGCCUGCGUAGGUGUCAGAGCAUCCCAGGCUUCGUUCUCCUCACCUCACAGGGAAGAUAAUAAGAGCUGCAUGGCCAUGUGAGUGUUCAGGUUAAUGGGGUACACAUGCGUGAUCAGGGGUGCAAGUCUGUGCUCCUUCCCAUGGGCUCCUGGGACUUAUAAAUCCGUGGCUCGCCUAUGACCUGGGUUUCCACGCUCCCCUAUGGUGUUAGAAGCACACAUACCAAGACAGGAUUACACAUGAGGAUUUUACUUGGGCAAACACUUGAAAGAAAAGGGAGAGGCCAGCCAGGAUGCAAGUCUUACCCGAAACCAGGAUGUAGGGAAAGAAUUUUGGGCAGAAGCACCCUAGACCCACCAUAUGCUCUCAGCAGGCUCAGCAAGGCCAUGAGGGAGUCUUCAAAUCUUAGUCUGCUAUAAGAGAAGGCCCUACCUCCUGGAUGCCAGGAGUGCUAGCACCCCCGCCUCACUCAGUGGCUGAUUGGCUGCAUGAACCCAUAGGAAGUGUGGCUUCAACAAAGAUGUGCACAGCAGCUGGGACCCUUGGUCAGUUUGGUUCCGUGUCUGCAAAGCAUGUCUUGUGGCACUGCAGCUAUCCCCCAUACUAACAUCUUUCACUUUGGCACCCACAACAGGUGCUUUUCUCAGCCCAUACCUCCACUCCCGGAAACUUGCACCCUACACCCACAGUCCCCUCAUCCAGACCAUUAUGAACUUGGGCUCCAAGAUGUCUCUAGACCUUAACUCUGGGAGAAAUAAUAUUCUUGGUUAGGUUAUAUAGCACAGCUGCAAGUGCCCCAUGUCUCUGUCUAUACUUAAGUGCACACGUGUGGGUACACAUGCUUAUUUGUCAGUGUGCAUGUAUAUAAGUGAGCAUAUGUGGAUGAGCAUUUAUAAUUGUGUACAUGCAUGUGAAUUUAUACAAUGAUAUCUAGAACUAUGCUAAGCGUUUUACCAUAGUAUCUUCAUCUUUCCAACUAUCUUCGAGGUAGAUAAGGUAGAUAAAUCUAAAUGUUUUCCCCACCACGCCAUUCAGCUAAUACAAAAGCAGAGCCCAGGAUUGAAUUAGGAAUGUUUUCUUUGAGAUCUGAGCUCUUGUCCUCCCCAUCACACCUACUCAUAUGGCCAUUUGUUGCAUGAAACCACGUAUGUAGGUAUAUAUAAGAAAGGUUAAGACAGAAGAGGGAAAUACACCAUGGAGAGGUUAGAUUGAUUAUAGAUGGGUGGCUGAUAAAGGGACAUGCUCUCAGAAGUCACACACACUCCCCCCAUAUAAUUCUAUUUGUGUAUGUCAUCUGGAAACAUACUGCAUUCCUCCUAUAAGAAUUUCUAUAUAAUAAGCUACAGCACAAAUUUUAGAAAUUCUAAGAAAUUUGAGGCUCUGAUUCUUCUAGUAUAAUCCUACAGGAGUCCCUUUCCUUGUCCUUUCCCCAAAUCCUUGCUUCCAUGGCAAUUUUUU